This 253-nucleotide ribosomal RNA is filed under the name uncultured bacterium. RNAcentral describes it as "partial 16S ribosomal RNA". It matches the Rfam family "Bacterial small subunit ribosomal RNA", at positions 524 to 776 of the family's 1533-position model. The record is from RNAcentral.
UACGUAGGGGGCAAGCGUUGUCCGGAUUUAUUGGGCGUAAAGAGCGUGUAGGCGGCUAGAUAGGUCCGUUGUGAAAACUGGAGGCUCAACCUCCAGCUGUCGAUGGAAACCAUCUGGCUAGAGUCCGGAAGAGGAGAGUGGAAUUCCUGGUGUAGCGGUGAAAUGCGCAGAUAUCAGGAGGAACACCAGUGGCGAAGGCGGAUCUCUGGGCCUUACCUGACGCUCAGGUGCGAAAGCUAGGGGAGCGAACAGG